This 375-nucleotide ribosomal RNA is filed under the name uncultured Glomeromycotina. Its description in RNAcentral is "LSU rRNA". The record is from RNAcentral. Lineage: Eukaryota; Fungi; Glomeromycota.
UUGAAAGGGAAACGAUUGAAGUCAGUCGUACCUGCGGGAUAAUCAGCCUUUCGAGUAUGAUUCUGUGGAGUGUAAGGAGUUUAACCGUCUUCAUACCUGCAUAUUCGUGCGCUUUGGGUGUACUUGUCCGUAUGGUAGGUUAACAUCAAUUUUGGUCGUUAUAAAAUGACUAGGGGAAUGUAGCUUUGAUCCCGUAUUGAAGUGUUAUAGCCUCUGGUAAAUGCAGUGACUAGGAUUGAGGAUUGCAACGGAUACCUUUCGGGGCUACUCGUCUGAUCUCUGGAAGUUACUUUGGUGCUAAAAGCUUGCUUAUGGUUAUCGAAGUUGGCGGUCAAUAGGUUAGAACGAGUUAAAUUCGUUAAGGAUGUUGACGUA